UACAGAGGUCUCAAGCGUUGUUCGGAUUCAUUGGGCGUAAAGGGUGCGUAGGUGGUGCUGUAAGUCAGGCGUGAAAUCUCGGGGCUCAACCCCGAAACUGCACUUGAUACUGCAGUGCUCGAGGACUGGAGAGGAGAUUGGAAUUCAUGGUGUAGCAGUGAAAUGCGUAGAUAUCAUGAGGAAGACCAGUGGCGAAGGCGGAUCUCUGGACAGUUCCUGACACUGAGGCACGAAGGCCAGGGGAGCAAACAGG
Molecule: ribosomal RNA, 253 nt
Filed under: uncultured bacterium
Lineage: Bacteria
Description: partial 16S ribosomal RNA
Rfam family: Bacterial small subunit ribosomal RNA
Source: RNAcentral